Molecule: long non-coding RNA, 299 nt
Organism: Sebastes umbrosus (honeycomb rockfish)
Lineage: Eukaryota; Metazoa; Chordata; Actinopteri; Perciformes; Sebastidae
Exons: 2
Source: RefSeq, a predicted model, not a curated record
AAAAAAGAGUUUUUUUGCACAUACGAUUGUCCCUUUUAAAAAAAUAUUCAACAUAUAUGAGAGGGAUAUAAAUAAGACAUUUUAUGGCUUCAAAUGACAAAGGAACGGAAUCUUUUAACAGCAUCAAGAACAAAAUGUGAACGAAUCUUUUGGGUUAUCAAAAAAAUUACACACACACACACACACACCUCAGAGAGCCACUGUAGUUAUACUUUAAGUCAUUCUUUGGUUUAUGUAAUUUUGGCAUAGUUGACUUUACAUUAAUAUAGUUUUAAAAAUACAUCCAGACACACACACAC